GGAAAGAUUUAUCGGUCAAGGAUGAGCCCGCGUUGGAUUAGCUAGUUGGUGGGGUAAAGGCCUACCAAGGCGACGAUCCAUAGCUGCUGAGAGGAUGAUCAGCCACAUUGGGACUGAGACACGGCCCAAACUCCUACAGGCAGCAGUGAAUAUUGGACAAUGGGCGCAAGCCUGAUCCAGCCAUGCCGCGUGAGUGAUGAAGGCCCUAGGGUUGUAAAGCUCUUUCACCGGAGAAGAUAAUGACGGUAUCCGGAGAAGAAGCCCCGGCUAACUUCGUGCCAGCAGCCGCGGUAAUACGAAGGGGGCUAGCGUUGUUCGGAAUUACUGGGCGUAAAGCGCACGUAGGCGGAUCGAUCAGUCAGGGGUGAAAUCCCAGGGCUCAACCCUGGAACUGCCUUUGAUACUGUCGAUCUGGAGUAUGGAAGAGGUGAGUGGAAUUCCGAGUGUAGAGGUGAAAUUCGUAGAUAUUCGGAGGAACACCAGUGGCGAAGGCG
Molecule: ribosomal RNA, 494 nt
Filed under: Rhizobiaceae bacterium
Lineage: Bacteria; Pseudomonadati; Pseudomonadota; Alphaproteobacteria; Hyphomicrobiales; Rhizobiaceae
Description: bacterial SSU rRNA
Rfam family: Bacterial small subunit ribosomal RNA
Source: RNAcentral